This 384-nucleotide ribosomal RNA is filed under the name uncultured bacterium. Its description in RNAcentral is "bacterial SSU rRNA". It matches the Rfam family "Bacterial small subunit ribosomal RNA", at positions 369 to 770 of the family's 1533-position model. The record is from RNAcentral.
CAAUGGGGGAAACCCUGUUCCAGCCAUGCCGCGUGAGUGAUGAAGGCCCUAGGGUUGUAAAGCCCUUUUGUGCGGGAAGAUAAUGACGGUACCGCAAGAAUAAGCCCCGGCUAACUUCGUGCCAGCAGCCGCGGUAAUACGAAGGGGGCUAGCGUUGCUCGGAAUUACUGGGCGUUAAGGGUGCGUAGGCGGAUCUUUAAGUCAGAGGUGAAAGCCUGGAGCUCACCUCCAGAACUGCCUUUGAUACUGGGGAUCAUGAGUUCGGGGGAGGUGAGUGUAGCUGCGAGUGUAGAGGUGAAGUUCGUAGAAAUACGCAAGAAAACCAGUGGCGAAGGCGGCUCACUGGCCCGAUACUGACGCUGAGGCACGAAAGCGUGGGGAGCA